AAAAGGGUGAUGAUAAAGUUAGUAUCAGAAUGAUAGUUGACAAAUUAGAGAGAGAUAUCAAGCUUACGCGCCUGAGGCAGUAUAGGCUCCCGAGAAGAAUGUAUGCCAGCUACCAGUGCUCUUUGAUCCUCGUAAGCAGGAGAAGAGCAUCUCACAAUGAGCACAGGACUCGAGAGGUGGUUCCUAUAAUUAUCGUCAGAGUAAAU
RNAcentral lists this unclassified non-coding RNA (206 nucleotides) under Hevea brasiliensis (rubber tree). Lineage: Eukaryota; Viridiplantae; Streptophyta; Magnoliopsida; Malpighiales; Euphorbiaceae. The record is from RNAcentral.